GCCGGGUGCGGUGGCGCGCGCCUGUAAUCCAAGUUACCGGGAGGCUGAGGCUGGAGGAUCGUUUGAGCUCAGGAGCUCUGAGCUGCAGCGGACUAUGCCGAUCGGGUGUCCGCGCUAAGUUCGGUAUCGAUAUGGUGCUCCUGAGGGAGCCCGGGACCACCAGGUCGUCUAAGGAGGGGUGCACCGGCCCAGGUCGGAGACGGAGCAGGUCAAAGCCCCCGUGCCGUUCAGUAGUGGGAUCGCGCCUGUGAAUAGACGCUGUAGUGCAGCCUGAGUAAUACAGCGGGACCCAGUCUUUU
Molecule: unclassified non-coding RNA, 299 nt
Organism: Amphiprion ocellaris (clown anemonefish)
Lineage: Eukaryota; Metazoa; Chordata; Actinopteri; Pomacentridae
Rfam family: Metazoan signal recognition particle RNA
About the family: The signal recognition particle (SRP) is a universally conserved ribonucleoprotein. It is involved in the co-translational targeting of proteins to membranes.
Source: Ensembl